Molecule: long non-coding RNA, 733 nt
Organism: Eucalyptus grandis
Lineage: Eukaryota; Viridiplantae; Streptophyta; Magnoliopsida; Myrtales; Myrtaceae
Exons: 2
Source: RefSeq, a predicted model, not a curated record
GCAAAGUCCCCUUGAUGUCCACACUGUACAGCCAGUAGAGCCCGUGGAUCCCGUGCCUCGCUAUCGAGUUGUCCCUCCCGAUCAAUCCGGUCGAGAACACCGGGUUCGACUUCGGGUUAUUUACCCGGACCUGUCGAGACAAUGUACCUGUAACUCGGAGAGUGUGGCAGAUGCGAGCGCUAUCCGGAGCUUGUAAACGCCAUUUUUGUCCACGUUCGCAAGGGCGAACUUGAUCUGCCAUGUGGUGCCCAGAUAGGUUUUAUCAUCCUUCUUCCUGGAAAAAGGAAAAAACAGAAUCUUGAAAAAUUGAUUGAGAAUGUGCAGGCUGCAGAAUUGUUUUGAAAGUGCAACAUGAUGUUCUUAAUAAGCUCUAGGAGUCUGGUAAAUGCACCAAUUUUAUUGGAAGAGGAUGUGUUACCUAGUAACCUGAGCAAAGAACCAAUCCUUGGAGUAGUCGCUAGUGCCGACAGUGUAAACCAAAUCUCCGUCGGGAUACAACUCGGCAUAUCUUUCCCAGAGUCCAUAUUGCCUGAACCUGUUAGUGAAAUUACUUUAAAUCAUGUCAUAAUUUAAUCGAAACCUCUGUCAUCUUAUCAGGCAUUCGCCUGAUUUAUCGAGAAAGCCAUGCACAAAUCAUGCAGAAACCGGAGAAAAAGCUCGCCGUGUGAAGUAAAUGAUUUGUGCAUGGAUCCAAUCUCAUUGGGUUAAUUAGCAUUCACAGUUCAUUUACAAA